This 426-nucleotide ribosomal RNA is filed under the name uncultured bacterium. Its description in RNAcentral is "bacterial SSU rRNA". It matches the Rfam family "Bacterial small subunit ribosomal RNA", at positions 356 to 773 of the family's 1533-position model. The record is from RNAcentral.
GGGGAAUCUUGCGCAAUGGGAGCAAUCCUGACGCAGCAACGCCGCGUGGGUGAUGAAGGUCUUCGGAUCGUAAAGCCCUGUCGGAGGGGAAGAUGCUUGGUGUCGCUAAUAUCGGCAUCAGGUGACGGUACCCUCAAAGGAAGCACCGGCUAACUCUGUGCCAGCAGCCGCGGUAAUACAGAGGGUGCAAGCGUUGUUCGGAAUUAUUGGGCGUAAAGGGAGUGUAGGCGGUUCGUUAAGUCUUCUGUGAAAUCUACGGGCUUAGCCUGUAACGUGCAGAGGAAACUAGCGGGCUUGAGUGUCGGAGAGGAUAGGGGAAUACCCAGUGUAGAGGUGAAAUUCGUAGAGAUUGGGUGGAACACCAGUGGCGAAGGCGCCUAUCUGGCUGACAACUGACGCUGAGACUCGAAAGCAUGGGGAGCAAAC